Molecule: ribosomal RNA, 301 nt
Filed under: uncultured bacterium
Lineage: Bacteria
Description: partial 16S ribosomal RNA
Rfam family: Bacterial small subunit ribosomal RNA
Source: RNAcentral
CAGCAGCCGCGGGAAUACGGAGGGUGCAAGCGUUAAUCGGAAUUACUGGGCGUAAAGCGCACGCAGGCGGUCUGUCAAGUCAGACGUGAAAUCCCCGGGCUUAACCUGGGAACUGCAUUUGAAACUGGCAGGCUAGAGUCUUGUAGAGGGGGGUAGAAUUCCAGGUGUAGCGGUGAAAUGCGUAGAGAUCUGGAGGAACAUCUGUGGCGAAGGCGACUAUCUGGGCCAACACUGACACUGAGGCACGAAAGCGUGGGGAGCAAACAGGAUUAGAUACCCCAGUAGUCCCUGUCUCUUAUAC